GUGGUGUGAAGAAGGAGAUGGAGUUAGAGUUAGAAUUUGAGAAUGUAUUUUGUUUAUGAGGAUGAUGGUGAUAAUAGAUCCAAUUAUCACGUAAUUUCUUCAAGUCAACUGAUACACAGGUAUUUCUCUCUAUAUUAAUUGAUAAAUAGGUACUUCAUAUGAUCUACAUCUGUGUCAGUGAACAAAUAAGUAUCAUCGAUA
Molecule: long non-coding RNA, 201 nt
Filed under: Elaeis guineensis (African oil palm)
Lineage: Eukaryota; Viridiplantae; Streptophyta; Magnoliopsida; Arecales; Arecaceae
Description: long non-coding RNA (EGUI_LNC040987)
Source: RNAcentral